ACAAGGUCUGUUUGUAGCCUUCCCAAACAUUCCCAGCAUCACCAACAGUUCAUAUUUGUAACAAAGUACACAUAAACUUCAUAGAUUUGGUUAAAUUUGUAGCCUCCACAAACAUUCCCAAUGUACAUCACUAUGGGUUUAUAACCAGAUACAGAUAUUGAAAAAAUCAAAGUUCCUGGACAAUUAUGAGACACAAAUACAGAUACACUUGAGCUACACCUUCGGACCUCCCCAUUUGACCUAUCCAUCGUGUCCAAGACUUGUAGUUGCUAUGGCAUCCGAGAGAAAGUAGGCUGUUAAUUAAUAAGGUCAUUCAUGAGAUCCCAGCGACAGUACAGACAAUAAAACACUUUUCUGAAAUGCUAUAGUUUCCAAAUCGCAUCAAACAAUAAAUCAUUUUGUGAUACAGAAAGGAAUCUAGGAUUAAUUUCUUCGGCUUCAUUGACGCUCAUAAUCACAUUACUGGUGUAUAAGUGAUUAAGCGAAAGGAAUAAUCAGUAGAAGCUCUUACAAGCAUUUAGCUAUUAACAGUCCAAAAACUUAGGUUGCCUGGCAACAUAAAGAAAAGUACUACAUGAUCCAAAUGGUAAGUUGGCAGUUGUACUAAUCCAAAAGCGGAAUCUGUCUCAAAAAAGAAAGGAAUUGAAAUGUAAUACCUGGACAUUUUAAGAAAUGCAGUCAGUGAGACAAAGCUAUUUUUUUUCAGAAAUGCAGUCAUUAUAUAGAGCUGAAGACUAUUGCUUGAUAACAUAGUUGCAAUUGAAUGGAAUAAACUUUGAGCGAAACUAUGACUUUAUAAUUUAGGUAAGCAUGGCCAAUUAUUUCUGCUAAAUUGCAAGAAGCAUUAUAAGCAAAGCAAACAUGUAAGGCGUAAUUAACACUCCUCCGCACGAUACAUACUCAAAGACGAGUCCAGGGAUUGAUGCAUCGAUAUUUACUCAUGCGUUAUAACUGUGUACAAAUGCUUAUACUCAGAAGUUGAGGCUGAAGCUUAUAUUGCCUUGCUAUCAUCACAAAUAUUUUAUUUCCGAGGCAUGGACAAAAUAAUAUUGCUAAUGUAACUACUCUUGUACUUACAUUAGAAAUGUGUCUCAAUCUAUUAGAAUUGAUUAUCACUAUUCAUUAGGAAAUACUCCCUUGGUGUCAAAAAAUGUCUUAUAUUUUGAUACAGAGGGGGUACUAUGCAACAUUUUCUUCGCAAUUUCAAAUGGCCACCAAACAAGGGAAAUUUCAAAUUGAUAAGAGAGAUAUAAAAUAUGUAGUUACGUAUAAAACAGAAGGGUGCCUUCUGAAAUGUCAACUGAAAGUCACCCAAUGAUGUUGAGAAGAAUUUAUAGUGCAGAGUUUGAUUCCUUCACUGAACAAAAGGGGCAAGCAUUUGAUAUGAUCUUUGCUGCGUUGAGUUGACUCCAAAUUUCACCAAUUCAAUACACACUCUUACGUUUUCAACUUUGGUAUCUGAUAUUGCACUACUUCACUAUAUAUUCAGUUGACUUUCUGAAUUACUUACACAAGCUGAAAUACAAACAUGUACAUUGCAUCUGAUAAAUCACUAAAAGCCUACAGCACAUGGCUUUUACACCACAAGAAUAAUAUAUUUUUUCUAUUCUAACUAUCACAAAAUAGAGAUGCUUACAUCCCACAUCAAGCAAGAACUAAGAAAUCAAGAGCUGCUCACGCUGAGCUACAAAUUGGCAAACUACAUGGAGUUUUGUUCACCAGAAGUUCAUCCAUAAUUAAGUAAAGAGAAGAAAGCUUGCAAUACCUCAUGGAGGGAUGGUACCUGGCACUGGUGCAGUAAUGAGGCAUCUCCACCAGAAACUUGACAGGGAGCACGAGGAAGCCAUGGAACUCCGACCCCACUACAAACCUCCCCAUGGCCACGAUCUGCUGCCAUUUCUGCACAUCCACCUUCUCCCGACGCCAUCCUUCUUUCCCAUGUAACAGCCACACGAAUCUCCUGUUGCCGCUCUCUUUUUUGUGCAAAGCACGUGAGACCAUACUAUUUCAUCAAAUUUUGCAAGUGUACAUUACAGUUAUAUCAUGAUUAUCAUUCAUGAAAGUUUUCAACAAUUACAACGUUUGAAAGGAGCAACAGAGAGU
This 2103-nucleotide long non-coding RNA is filed under the name Triticum aestivum (bread wheat). RNAcentral describes it as "long non-coding RNA (TAES_LNC020496)". Lineage: Eukaryota; Viridiplantae; Streptophyta; Magnoliopsida; Poales; Poaceae. The record is from RNAcentral.